This 139-nucleotide ribosomal RNA is filed under the name Schistocerca piceifrons peruviana. RNAcentral's name for it is "partial 12S ribosomal RNA". The record is from RNAcentral. Lineage: Eukaryota; Metazoa; Arthropoda; Insecta; Orthoptera; Acrididae.
GGCUCUGAGGUGUGUACACAUCGCCCCGUCGCUCUCGUUAUUGAUUAUUCCAUCUCAUUACUUUAAUUUAGCUUCGGUUUAGAGGAGAUAAGUCGUACCAUAGUAGAUGUACUGGAAAGUGUAUCUGCGAAGAGUUUCC